This is a long non-coding RNA of Saccostrea cuccullata (small rock oyster), 325 nucleotides long. RefSeq lists it as uncharacterized. The record is from RefSeq and is a predicted model, not a curated record. Lineage: Eukaryota; Metazoa; Mollusca; Bivalvia; Ostreida; Ostreidae. The transcript is spliced from 3 exons.
CUCAUGUUUUAAAUGAAGGAUACCUGAUAAACAAAGUGGAUUCCUUGUGAACGGACACAUAUAAGCACCUUGUUGUGAUGUUUUAGGAAUGCUUUUGUUAAUUCUAACUUCAGGUGUAUUUACAUCUGCCCGGAUAACUGGAACAACUGAACCAGACCCUGUGUCAUUACUAUGUACUUGCUCAAGGAUAAACUUUGCUGAGAGGAAAUAUGGAGGCACCACGUUUGAUAUUCAAGCAGAAAUAAAUUUUCAAAAUCUGAAAUGUAGAGAGAAUGCUGAACGCCUUCGAUGGAAUCCAAUAGCUUCUAUUUACAUAGGGAAUGUU